This 882-nucleotide long non-coding RNA is filed under the name Homo sapiens (human). RNAcentral describes it as "non-protein coding lnc-PITRM1-7:3". The record is from RNAcentral. Lineage: Eukaryota; Metazoa; Chordata; Mammalia; Primates; Hominidae.
GCGAGCUCCCUGCUUAACAGAAGGCUCAGUUGCCCAAGUGACGAAGGCAUUGUGGGGCACGAACCAGGCUUUGGUGAAUUUAUCUCAUUAUACACCAGGAGUUAUAAUUUAAAAACCAGUGUCAUAUAAAGAAGAAAAAAGAUAUGGUGAGAUACAAUACCAUUAACACUUCUUCAGAAACGGAUUUUAAAGCAGAACUUCCAUGACUGUGAAAUCCAACCGGGUGCGCGACCACGAGGAAGGAUGGCGAGGGAGGAAACCGCGCUUUGUUGUUGAGGUGAGCCGGGUGCGCGACCAUAAGGAAGGAUGGCGAGGGAGGAAACCGCGCUUUGUUCUUGAGGUGAGCCGGGUGCGCGACCACGAGGAAGGAUGGCGAGGGAGGAAACCGCGCUUUGUUGGUGAGGUGAACCGCGUGCACGAUCCCGAGGAAGUAUUGCCAGGGAGGAAACCGCGCUUUGUUCUUGAGGUGAGCCGGGUGCGCGACCAUGAGGAAGGAUGGCGAGGGAGGAAACCGCGCUUUGUUGGUGAGGUGAGCUGGGUGCGCGAUCACGAGGAAGGAUCGCGAGGGAGGAAACCGCGCUUUGUUGGUGAGGUGAAACGGGUGCGCGACCAUGAGGAAGUCUGGCGAGGGAGGAAACCGCGCUUUGUUGGUGACGUGAACCGCGUGCACGAUCCCGAGGAAGAAGGGCGAGGGAGGAAACCGCGCUUUGUUGGUGAGGUGAACCGGGUGCGCGACCAUGAGGAAGGAUGGCGAGGGAGGAAACCGCGCUUUGUUGGUGACGUCUCAACUCUGCGUGCGACUGGACAGAGGAAGCCAUGAAACAUCAGGGCACAGCUGCUGGGGCUUCAGGUCUCCUGCUUCUGUCCACAUGCAGACCCUGC